RNAcentral lists this ribosomal RNA (406 nucleotides) under uncultured bacterium. Its description in RNAcentral is "bacterial SSU rRNA". It matches the Rfam family "Bacterial small subunit ribosomal RNA", at positions 354 to 777 of the family's 1533-position model. The record is from RNAcentral.
GUGGGGAAUAUUGCACAAUGGGGGAAACCCUGAUGCAGCGACGCCGCGUGAGUGAAGAAGUAUUUCGGUAUGUAAAGCCCUAUCGGCAGGGAAGAAAUUGACGGUACCUGACUAAGAAGCCCCGGCUAACUACGUGCCAGCAGCCGCGGUAAUACGUAGGGGGCGAGCGUUAUCCGGAUUCACUGGGUGUAAAGGGAGCGUAGACGGCCAUGCAAGCCAGGGGUGAAAGCCCGGGGCCCAACCCCGGGACUGCCCUUGGAACUGUCAGGCUAGAGUGCGGGAGGGGCAGGCGGAAUUCCUGGUGUAGCGGUGAAAUGCGUAGAUAUCAGGAGGAACACCGGCGGCGAAGGCGGCCUGCUGGACCGCGACUGACGUUGAGGCUCGAAAGCGUGGGGAGCGAACAGGA